RNAcentral lists this long non-coding RNA (854 nucleotides) under Mus musculus (house mouse). RNAcentral describes it as "RIKEN cDNA A730045E13 gene". Lineage: Eukaryota; Metazoa; Chordata; Mammalia; Rodentia; Muridae. The record is from RNAcentral.
AUGCGUAGGGAAGCACGGACCUGGAAGGGGUGGCUUUCAAGUCCUUCACAUUGUCGGAGCAAAGCAUUGUUCACAGAAGGUAGCAAGAAUGACCACAACAAACCCAUCCACAAAUAUACUGCAAAAUAGUGUUGCAAAUAAAAAUCCAAAAAAGAAAUAUAGAAAACCAAUGACACAGACAUUAUAUUGGCAGCAAAUGGUAACUCCUAUGAAUAGGGGCCUUACAGUGAACAGACACAGGAAAUGGGAGGACAGCUGUUUGUCGAUUUUAAGUGGCAUCAUUAAGAUAGAUAGAAUCAUACUAAAGGCGGCAUUUGACUUCCAGGAAAGGAAGACCCUUGAAGAAAGUGAAGUCAAACUCAUGUCAGAGAACGGGAUUCCAGGAAGAGGGAAGACAGAGCUUGUCUGGAGCUUUUGUAGUGACCAGCAUGGUCAGAGUGAGCAUCCAGUUCACUAAGAACUUUGUAGACCACUGUAAAAGAUUUGGCUCUCACAUAGUAGGAAAUGGAGAGCUAUUGCCAACCAAGUCUCGAGCAGAGGAGUUGCCAUCUGAAUUUUCUUUUAAAAACAAACAAACAAACAAACAGAAUCUCAUUGGAUAGCAGAAGUUGGUCUUCAACUUCCAAUCCUGCGUCUACCAGGUCCUGGUUCUACCGGGUGUGCCUCAGACAUCUUGCCUGUUCUUUUCUUUUUAAAGAGUGUAUUUGAGGGCCUUCUGAGACUUAGACUACAGAAAGUCAGAAGGAGAAAUAUGAUUUAAUGUGGCCAGGAACAAACAUGAAGCUUCGCCUAGGCUUGGCUGGGGCUCAUAAAGGUGUUGAAGAAUUGCUUAUGCCUGAAUUUCUUUUAAAGGC